AUCCAGACUCCUACGGGAGGCAGCAGUGAGGGAUAUUGGUCAAUGGGGGAAACCCUGAACCAGCAACGCCGCGUGAGGGAAGACGGUUUUCGGAUUGUAAACCUCUGUCCUCUGUGAAGAUAAUGACGGUAGCAGAGGAGGAAGCUCCGGCUAACUACGUGCCAGCAGCCGCGGUAAUACGUAGGGAGCAAGCGUUGUCCGGAUUUACUGGGUGUAAAGGGUGCGUAGGCGGCUUUGCAAGUCAGAAGUGAAAUCCAUGGGCUUAACCCAGGAACUGCUUUUGAAACUGCAGAGCUUGAGUGGAGUAGAGGUAGGCGGAAUUCCAGGUGUAGCGGUGAAGUGCGUAGAGAUCGGGAGGAACACCAGUGGCGAAGGCGGCCUGCUGGACUGCGACUGACGUUGAGGCCCGAAAGCGUGGGGAGCAAACAGGAUUAGAUACCCUCGUA
Molecule: ribosomal RNA, 446 nt
Filed under: uncultured bacterium
Lineage: Bacteria
Description: partial 16S ribosomal RNA
Rfam family: Bacterial small subunit ribosomal RNA
Source: RNAcentral